Molecule: ribosomal RNA, 18 nt
Filed under: Dosinia exoleta
Lineage: Eukaryota; Metazoa; Mollusca; Bivalvia; Venerida; Veneridae
Also listed under: 1 other name
Description: partial 18S ribosomal RNA
Source: RNAcentral
AACCUGCGGAUGGAUCAU